Non-coding RNA from Ictidomys tridecemlineatus (thirteen-lined ground squirrel), 2800 nucleotides. NCBI's taxonomy places the organism in Eukaryota, Metazoa, Chordata, Mammalia, Rodentia, Sciuridae. The record is from RefSeq and is a predicted model, not a curated record.
GUUUUAUGGAGGAACAGCAGGCCAGACCAGAGAGGGCCCCGAGUGGGCCCUGGGAGCCCCAGAUCCUUCAGGACAAGGCCCCUAUUGGCCUAGCAGAGGUGUUUCAGACUGGUCUGUCUAAGUCCAUGAAGAUCAAAGUGGAGCUGGACGGUGACAGUUACAUCCUGGAGCUGCUGCAGAACAGGGACUUAGUCCCAGGUCGCCCAACCCUGGCAUGGUAUCAGCCCGAUGGCACUCGGGUAGUCAGUGAGGGACACACUCUGGAGAACUGCUGCUAUCAGGGCAGAGUACAAGGCCAUACCAGCUCCUGGGUCUCCAUGUGCGCCUGCUCCGGCCUCAGGGGCUUGGUGCUCCUGUCCCCAGAGAGAAGUUAUGUCUUGGAGCUGGGGCCUGGGGACAUUCAGGGUCCUCCCAUUAUCUCCCGGAUCCAAGACCUUCGCUUGCCAGGCCACGUCUGUGCCCUGAGCCGGAAUGCCCCUGUGCCCACUCAGGCUCCACCAGGGCAGCCCCUGGGACAACGCCAUAUUCGCCGGCACAAGCGGGACGUGGUAACAGAGACCAAGAUUGUCGAGCUGGUGAUUGUGGCCGACCAUUCAGAGGUCAGGAGGUAUCCCGACUUCCAGCGCCUGCUGAACCGCACACUGGACGUGGCCCUCCUGCUGGACAUGUUCUUCCGGCCCCUGAACGUCCGGGUGGUACUGGUGGGCCUGGAGGCCUGGAGCCAGCGCGACCUGAUAGAGAUGAGCCCAAACCCAGCUGUCACUCUGGAAAACUUCCUCCACUGGCGCCGGACAGACUUGCUGCCUCGACUGCCCCAUGACAGUGCCCAGCUAGUGACUGAUAUUUCUUUCUCUGGGCCCAUGGUGGGCAUGGCCAUUCAGAACUCCAUCUGUUCUCCCGACUUCUCAGGAGGUGUGAACAUGGACCACUCCAUAAGCAUCCUGGGAGUCGCCUCCUCCAUAGCCCAUGAGUUGGGCCACAGCCUGGGCCUGGGCCACGAUUCACCUGGGAGCAGCUGCCCCUGUCCAGGUCCAGCCCCAGCAAAGAGCUGCAUCAUGGAGGCCUCCACCGACUUCCUGCCAGGCCUGAACUUCAGCAACUGCAGCCGGCAGGCCCUGGAGAAAGCCCUCCUGCAGGGGAUGGGCAGCUGCCUCUUUGAACGGCUGCCCAGCCUGCCCCCUAUGGCCCCCUUCUGCGGAAAUAUGUUUGUGGACCCUGGCGAGCAGUGUGACUGUGGCUUCCCGGAUGACUGCACAGAUCCCUGUUGUGAUUACUUCACCUGCCAGCUGAGGCCAGGGGCACAGUGUGCCUCUGACGGACUCUGUUGUCAGAACUGCCAGCUGCGCCCCGCCGGCUCGCAGUGCCGUCCUAGCAGAGGAGACUGUGACUUGCCCGAGUUCUGCCCAGGAGACAGCUCCCAGUGCCCCCCGGACAUCAGCCUGGGGGACGGCGAGCCCUGUGCUGGUGGCCAGGCUGUGUGUGUCCACGGGCGCUGUGCCUCCUAUGCCCAGCAGUGCCAGUCACUCUGGGGACCUGGGGCCCAGCCCGCUGCGCCACUUUGCCUCCAAACAGCCAAUACUCGGGGCAACGUUUAUGGGAGCUGUGGCCGAAGCGCCAAUGGCAGCUACAUACCCUGCACCCCUCAAGACGCCGUUUGUGGGCAGCUUCAGUGCCAGGGGGGCAGGACGCAGCCUCUCCUGGGCUUAGCCCAAGAGCUGCACUGGGAGACGCUGGAGGCCAACGGGACUCAACUGAACUGCAGCUGGGUACACCUGGACCUGGGCAACGACGUGGCCCAACCCCUCCUGACUCUGCCGGGCACCGCCUGUGGCCCUGGCCUGGUGUGUCUAGACCACCGAUGCCAGCCUGUGGAUCUCCUAGGAGCACAAGAGUGUCGAAGCAGAUGCCAUGGACAUGGGGUCUGUGACAGCAACAGGCACUGCCACUGCGAGGAGGGCUGGGCACCCCCGGACUGCACCACACAGCUCCGAGCAACCAGCUCCCUGACCACGGGGCUGCUCCUCAGCCUCCUGCUGUUGCUGGUCCUAGUGCUACUUGGUGCCAGUUACUGGCACCGUGCCCGCCUGCGCCAGCGACUUUGCCAGCUCAAGGGAUCCAGCUGCCAAUACAGGGCAGCCCAAUCCAGUCCCCCUGAACGGCCAGGACCCCCCCAGAGGGCCCAGGUGUUGCCAGGCACUAAGCAGGUUAGUGCUCUCGGCUUUCCGGCCCCCCCCUCCAGGCCGCUGCCGCCUGACCCUGUGCCCAAGACACUCCAGGUGACCAAGGUGUCACUCGGACUUCCCAGGCUGAGCCCCAGAAGCCGCAAAGGGCUGAGCUGGCUGACCGACCCAAUCCCCCCACGCGCCCUCUGCCCGCUGACCCAGUGGUGAGGCGCCCGAAGGUAACAGUGGGGGGAGAGAAGGGCACAGCCUCUUCCCCCACCUAGGGCUGUGGUGCUGGUGGCCGUGGCGAGAUGCCCCCCUCUGUGCCUGAGGGCACAUGUCCCCGUGGCUCCUUUAAUGGUGACAGGUUUGUUUGGAGACAAGGGUGAUUUCUGGUGCUGCCCCCAAGCUGGUGCUCCCCAGCACCAGUGCGAUGGGGGUGGGCAACACGACGCGCACCAAGCCAGCUCAUGCCUUCCCUCUCUCAGUCUCAGAGGCCUACCAAGCCCCCACCCCCCAGGAAGCCACUGCCUGCGGACCCCCAGGGCAGGCGCCCUUCGGGUGACUUGCCUGGCCCAGGGCCUGGAAUCAUGCCUUCAGUGGUCCCCUCCAGGCCAGCACCACCGCCUCCAGCAGCA